This is a long non-coding RNA of Sarcophilus harrisii (Tasmanian devil), 3115 nucleotides long. Lineage: Eukaryota; Metazoa; Chordata; Mammalia; Dasyuromorphia; Dasyuridae. The record is from Ensembl.
UGAUUCUGGGGUCAGAAGACUUUGAUUUUUGGGUCAUCUUGGGCAAGAACUGUUUGCUUAUCUGUCAUUGACAUCAGGGAGGGAGAAUGAGAAUUCUGAGGACCCGUAAUCCUGGUUUUCCUCAUUUUGUCCCAGAUAUACCACUAUCCUCCCAACUUCCCAUCCCCACCUUCCCUUUGGCAAAAUAAAUCAACACAUUGGCCGGAUCUGAGACCAUUGAUCCAUUUUUUUCCAUCCGGAGUCCAUUAACCCUCUGUCAGGAGGUGGGAGGUGGAGUUCAGAAGCAGGCUUCCCAUGUGGCAUCCGCCGCUUUGAUCACAGCCUCCAAAGUUGCUUUUCUUCACAUAAAUGAGGAAACUGACAUUUGGCUGCUGGUGAUUGAAACAGUGAGUGUCAGGAGCAGGGUUUGAGCCCGAGUUUCCACUGACUCCAUGUUGCACAUUCUUCCUACUACACAUACCUCAUCUUGAUGGAUGUCAUUUUCUUGAUAUAAAAUGAGGGCUUGGACCUAGAUGAUCUCUAAGGUCACUUCCAGUUCUAAAAUCCCAUUAAUCCACGAGGAGAGAAGGCAUUUCAUAUGUCCUGCCUCCAGAUUAUGAGGCUCGGGGAAGCUGAGGCGUCCUGGACACCAGGGGACAGGGGCAGAAAAAGUGGGGAGGCCAGGGGAAAGAAAUGUAAAAAAGGAAGAGAAACAACUUUCAAAAAUUUCAGAAAUUAUGAGAAAAGAAAGCUAUGUUUUCCCAUCCUCACUACACCAAAUGACCCACUUCUUUCAGAAAAACUCAAGCCAGUAUCAUUAAUAUUAUAUAAAUAUUAGUUACAUUAUGGAUGAAAAUAGCUUUGGGGAGACUGGCCUGAGAACCUAACACUGCCUCAACAGGAAAAUACACCAAGUACCACAUAAUUUAUAACAUAAUAUUUGGAGCACAAUCUGUCCUAAGCUGGAACACUGGCUGAUCAUAUGACGAUUCCUUAUCUGUAGAACUGGGAUAAUAAUAAUUGUCCUACCUCUAUCACAAAGCUACCAUAAGGACCAAAUGAAAUGGUUAUAAAAAAAAGGUUUUUUUAAUUAUAAAGUACUAUAUAAAUUUAAUAUGACAUUGUAGAAUGCAACAUGGUAUAGUGCUGAACAAGAAAGCACUCUGUAAAUUGUUAAAACUAUGCAAAUAUAAAAUAUUACAUUCUUGCUGAGUGUAUGUUUGUAAGAGAUUACAACUGGUAUCGAUUUUUCUGAGAUGGUCCCUAUCCAAAAUUGUUUGCUGAAAGAUGAAAACUGACAAAGCACAUAUUUGCCGUGCCAAAAACUUAAGACAGUGCCGUUCCCAUCUCCCUUACAACACAGACAAUGAAGUCUCUGCUCAUUCCUAAUGUACAGUACCCUGUACUGAGGGUAUGUAGCUAAGACAAUCUGGGCCCACAGAGGCAGAGAGCCCCAGCCCCUCACCUUCCUAAUGAGGACACGGCAAGCUCAGGGCUGUGCCCACGCAGGUUCCUGCAGACAGUCUCCUGGAGGGCUGGGCCCCACUCCCAGGAUGCCAGGUCUGAUACAUCACCUCACAAAAAGCAGGGCCGAGAGCAGCAGCCUUGGCGGCACCAUGCCAGCACCGCACCAGGGCAUUUUAAGUUCUAGAGCUGCCAAAACCCAAGUGUUUCACACCAAAAAGAAGUCUUAAAUACUUUCUUCAUUUGAGUUUAAUGAAAUUUCCCAACAGAAUUCCUAUUUGGUUCUACUUGGCGCAUAUACGGGCUCUUCUAUACAUAAACAAAGGCAAUGUGGUGCAAUGAGAAGUGUCCCAGGUACAUUAUCCAUCGAGUGACCCACCUAAAACAUGAAGGAUCCAUCUAUUGGGCCUCUAUGACUCUCUACAUUACAAACCUGAAUUCAAAUCCAGCCUCAGACUCUUACUUGCUCUAUGAUCCCAGGCAAGUCCCUUAAACUGUCGGCUGCAAUGUCCCCAGUUGUAAAACAGAGAAAGUAAUAAUGCCUAUCUUGCAGGGUGGUUGUGAGGGUCAAAUAACAUCUUUGUGAAGUGUUUUUACCAUAGGGCUUGGCACACAGAAUGUGUAAUAUAAACGCUAGCUGUAAUCAUCAUUACGAUUACUUUUAAGUACCUAUGUGUUUGCCAGGCAGUACACAAGACAGAGAUAAAAAUACAAAGACAAAAAUAAAACAGCCCCUAUUCCUUUAGGACCUUACAUUCUGUUGAGGAAUCAAUAUGUGUGUAUACAAAACAGAUACAGGCAAAAUCAGCACCGGGGACACCAGCCAAGGACACUAGAGUUUCAUGUAGAAGACAUCUGACAUGAAUUUAGAAAGAGAGAUUACAUGAGAGGCAGAGGUGAGGAGGGAAUCCAUCCCAGGCAUAUGGGACUGCCUGUGCAAAGGCGGGAGGCAGGAGUGAGACAUGUGAGGACAGGAAGGAAGCUGAUGGGACUGAACCAGAGAAUGUGAAUGAGCCCAGUCCAGGAGCCUGGAUACCCAGCAGCUGACAGGAGGGUCAGGGAGACGGGCGGCAUGUUUGAUGACUAAGUUAGCAUCCAGAUCCUGGCAGGCCGGGACCACAGGGUGGAAACUAAUUAAAUGAAGUUUAAUAGGGUUAAAUCUUAAGGCUCAUCCUUAGGUUCAAAAACUUAUCUCCAGGAAUAAAAAAUGGGGGAGCCAGCCUGACAAAGAUUUAGGGCCAGGAGUGAGUUCUAUAUGAAUCAAGUGGGACAUGACAGUCCAGAAGCGAAUGUGGUCCUCCUUUAUGGCACUGAGAAGCAGAGAGGGAAAGGGGCUUAUGCCAUGGUAACUCGAGCCAAGGCUCAGUUCUGGGCCCUACAACUGCAGAAGGAGACUCAUAACCCUGAAUGUGUCCAGUUCUUGUUCUGCUUAGCGAUGAUAGGAAAUUAGGAGUUAAUGGUGAAAGGCAGAUAGGCCAACGAACAGGAUUUCUGAACAGUUAGGGCAACCCAAAGGGGAAUGUACUGUCUCAGGGGUCAGAGGAUCCAGCUUUCUAGAGAUCUUCAAACAAAAGCUAGAUAGUCCUCUGUCAAACGUAUAGUAGAGGAGAAUCUUGUGCAACUAAGGUUCCUUUCUAUCUCUGGGGUUCUAUAAAAAUGUGCACAUAUGUGU